Long non-coding RNA from Pseudophryne corroboree (corroboree frog), 287 nucleotides. RefSeq lists it as uncharacterized. The record is from RefSeq and is a predicted model, not a curated record. The transcript is spliced from 3 exons. NCBI's taxonomy places the organism in Eukaryota, Metazoa, Chordata, Amphibia, Anura, Myobatrachidae.
CCGGUAACCAAUGGAGGGACUGACAGAGCGGAUCAGCAGAUGAAGAACGUCUAGCGGGAAGAUUAGCCUUGCAGCUGCAUUCAAAAUGGAUUGUAGAGAUAUUAGAAGGCAUCUCAGAAUUUGGUAGCUUGUCACAUAACUCAUUGGCGGGAUCUCCACAUAGACACAUUAUCUUGGCCCUGACAUAAUCUACGGAGAAGCAGAAUAUAAAAAGAUACCCCAAAACAACUUUGAACUGAAAUGUCCUUUAUAUGAGAGAGCAAUGCCUGUUAUAUCCUUACCUGAGC